GGGUGCAGCAGGCGCGAAACCUUUGCAAUGUGCGCAAGCACGACAAGGUUAAUCCGAGUGUUUCCUGCUAAAGGAAUCUUUUGUUAGUUUUAAAAUCACUAUUGAAUAAGGGGUGGGCAAGUUCUGGUGUCAGCCGCCGCGGUAAAACCAGCACCUCAAGUGGUCAGGAGGAUUAUUGGGCCUAAAGCAUCCGUAGCCUGCUCUGUAAGUUUCCGGUUAAAUCCAUUAGCUCAACUAAUGGCCUGCCGGAAAUACUGUAGAGCUAGGAAGUGGGAGAGGUAGACGGUACUCGGUAGGAAGGGGUAAAAUCCUUUGAUCUAUUGAUGACCACCUGUGGCGAAGGCGGUCUACCAGAACACGUUCGACGGUGAGGGAUGAAAGCUGGGGGAGCAAACCGGAUUAGAUACCCGGGUAGUCCCAGCUGUAAACGAUGCAGACUCGGUGAUGCCCUGGCUUGUGGCCAGUGCAGUGCCGCAGGGAAGCCGUUAAGUUUGCCGCCUGGGAAGUACGUACGCAAGUAUGAAACUUAAAGGAAUUGGCGGGGGAGCACCACAAGGGGUGAAGCCUGCGGUUCAAUUGGAGUCAACGCCAGAAAUCUUACCCGGAGAGACAGCAGAAUGAAGGUCAAGCUGAAGACUUUACCAGACAAGCUGAGAGGUGGUGCAUGGCCGUCGCCAGCUCGUGCCGUGAGAUGUCCUGUUAAGUCAGGUAACGAGCGAGAUCCCUGCCUCUAGUUGCCACCAUUACUCUCA
RNAcentral lists this ribosomal RNA (752 nucleotides) under uncultured archaeon. RNAcentral describes it as "bacterial SSU rRNA". It matches the Rfam family "Archaeal small subunit ribosomal RNA", at positions 328 to 1081 of the family's 1478-position model. The record is from RNAcentral.